This 303-nucleotide ribosomal RNA is filed under the name uncultured bacterium. RNAcentral's name for it is "partial 16S ribosomal RNA". It matches the Rfam family "Bacterial small subunit ribosomal RNA", at positions 507 to 807 of the family's 1533-position model. The record is from RNAcentral.
AGCAGUCGCCGCGGUAAAACGGAGGGGGCUAGCGUUGUUCGGAAUUACUGGGCGUAAAGCGCACGUAGGCGGCUUGGUAAGUUAGAGGUGAAAGCCCGGAGCUCAACUCCGGAAUUGCCUUUAAGACUGCCGAGCUAGUAGGUGAGAGAGGUAAGUGGAAUUCCGAGUGUAGAGGUGAAAUUCGUAGAUAUUCGGAAGAACACCAGUGGCGAAGGCGGCUUACUGGCUUAUUCUAGACGCUGAGGUGCGAAAGCGUGGGGAGCAAACAGGAUUAGAUACCCCAGUAGUCCCUGUCUCUUAUAC